RNAcentral lists this ribosomal RNA (1177 nucleotides) under Enterobacter cloacae. Its description in RNAcentral is "bacterial SSU rRNA". It matches the Rfam family "Bacterial small subunit ribosomal RNA", at positions 48 to 1351 of the family's 1533-position model. Lineage: Bacteria; Pseudomonadati; Pseudomonadota; Gammaproteobacteria; Enterobacterales; Enterobacteriaceae. The record is from RNAcentral.
CUAACACAUGCAAGUCGAACGGUAGCACAGAGAGCUUGCUCUCGGGUGACGAGUGGCGGACGGGUGAGUAAUGUCUGGGAAACUGCCUGAUGGAGGGGGAUAACUACUGGAAACGGUAGCUAAUACCGCAUAACGUCGCAAGACCAAAGAGGGGGACCUUCGGGCCUCUUGCCAUCAGAUGUGCCCAGAUGGGAUUAGCUAGUAGGUGGGGUAACGGCUCACCUAGGCGACGAUCCCUAGCUGGUCUGAGAGGAUGACCAGCCACACUGGAACUGAGACACGGUCCAGACUCCUACGGGAGGCAGCAGUGGGGAAUAUUGCACAAUGGGCGCAAGCCUGAUGCAGCCAUGCCGCGUGUAUGAAGAAGGCCUUCGGGUUGUAAAGUACUUUCAGCGGGGAGGAAGGUGUUGUGGUUAAUAACCUCAGCAAUUGACGUUACCCGCAGAAGAAGCACCGGCUAACUCCGUGCCAGCAGCCGCGGUAAUACGGAGGGUGCAAGCGUUAAUCGGAAUUACUGGGCGUAAAGCGCACGCAGGCGGUCUGUCAAGUCGGAUGUGAAAUCCCCGGGCUCAACCUGGGAACUGCAUUCGAAACUGGCAGGCUAGAGUCUUGUAGAGGGGGGUAGAAUUCCAGGUGUAGCGGUGAAAUGCGUAGAGAUCUGGAGGAAUACCGGUGGCGAAGGCGGCCCCCUGGACAAAGACUGACGCUCAGGUGCGAAAGCGUGGGGAGCAAACAGGAUUAGAUACCCCGCACAAGCGGUGGAGCAUGUGGUUUAAUUCGAUGCAACGCGAAGAACCUUACCUACUCUUGACAUCCAGAGAACUUUCCAGAGAUGGAUUGGUGCCUUCGGGAACUCUGAGACAGGUGCUGCAUGGCUGUCGUCAGCUCGUGUUGUGAAAUGUUGGGUUAAGUCCCGCAACGAGCGCAACCCUUAUCCUUUGUUGCCAGCGGUUAGGCCGGGAACUCAAAGGAGACUGCCAGUGAUAAACUGGAGGAAGGUGGGGAUGACGUCAAGUCAUCAUGGCCCUUACGAGUAGGGCUACACACGUGCUACAAUGGCGCAUACAAAGAGAAGCGACCUCGCGAGAGCAAGCGGACCUCAUAAAGUGCGUCGUAGUCCGGAUUGGAGUCUGCAACUCGACUCCAUGAAGUCGGAAUCGCUAGUAAUCGUAGAUCA